Molecule: long non-coding RNA, 838 nt
Filed under: Homo sapiens (human)
Lineage: Eukaryota; Metazoa; Chordata; Mammalia; Primates; Hominidae
Description: non-protein coding LINC01116:7
Source: RNAcentral
CGAACUGCCAGCCUGCGCCUUUGCAGCCGGCCCUCGCUUUGCUGAAGACGAGCAGCUCCCACCAAAGUCUUGCCUCCCCUUACCCCGAAAGCCCCGCUCAGGUCAAAGAGCCUAAAAGAAAAGCCCGGGCCGGGCGCGGUGGCUCACGCCUGUAAUCCCAGCACUUUGGGAGGCCGAGGCGGGCGGAUCACGAGGUCAGGAGAUCGAGACCAUCCCGGCUAAAACGGUGAAACCCCGUCUCUACUAAAAAUACAAAAAAUUAGCCGGGCGUAGUGGCGGGCGCCUGUAGUCCCAGCUCCUUGGGAGGCUGAGGCAGGAGAAUGGCGUGAACCCGGGAGGCGGAGCUUGCAGUGAGCCGAGAUCCCGCCACUGCACUCCAGCCUGGGCGACAGAGCGAGACUCCGUCUCAAAAAAAAAAAAAAAAAAAGAAAAGAAAAGCCCGGAGCCAUACACUCACCUGGUUGAAGCCAUAAAGAGUUCAAUAUUUCAAGUGAAAAUCUGCCUGUUCGAAAAGAAAAUAUUCACAAAUGAGCAGUGUAUUAGAAGACAACUGAAUUGCUUCUAAGAAUGGGUCUCACUCUGCCAUCACCCAGGCUGGAGUGUGGUGGCACCAUCAUGGCUCACUGCAGCCUUGAACUCCUGAGCUCAAGUCAUCCUCCCACCUCAGCCUUCCGAGUAGCUGGAACUGCAGGUGUGAGCCACCAUGCCUGGCUGAUUUGUCUUUUUAAAUUUUUUAUAGAGACCGAGUCUCAACUAUAUUGUCCAGGCUGGAAAAGAACUUCUUUCCCUCCAAGUGAUAACCUUUUCCAGACAAGUCAGCUUAAAAACUGACCCAAAG